This 207-nucleotide ribosomal RNA is filed under the name uncultured bacterium. RNAcentral's name for it is "partial 16S ribosomal RNA". It matches the Rfam family "Bacterial small subunit ribosomal RNA", at positions 568 to 774 of the family's 1533-position model. The record is from RNAcentral.
CGUCUAGGCGGGGAAUUAAGUUAGGUGUGAAAUCCCUGGGCUCAACCCAGGAACUGCAUCUAAAACUGGUUCUCUUGAGUUCGGGAGAGGAGAGCGGAAUUCCCGGUGUAGCGGUGAAAUGCGUAGAUAUCGGGAAGAACACCAGUGGCGAAGGCGGCUCUCUGGCCUAGAACUGACGCUGAAGCGCGAAAGCGUGGGGAGCGAACG